RNAcentral lists this ribosomal RNA (253 nucleotides) under uncultured bacterium. Its description in RNAcentral is "partial 16S ribosomal RNA". It matches the Rfam family "Bacterial small subunit ribosomal RNA", at positions 524 to 776 of the family's 1533-position model. The record is from RNAcentral.
UACGUAGGGUACGAGCGUUGUCCGGAAUUAUUGGGCGUAAAGAGCUCGUAGGCGGCCUGUUGCGUCGGUUGUGAAAGCCCGGGGCUUAACCCCGGGUCUGCAGUCGAUACGGGCAGGCUAGAGUUCGGUAGGGGAGAUCGGAAUUCCUGGUGUAGCGGUGAAAUGCGCAGAUAUCAGGAGGAACACCGGUGGCGAAGGCGGAUCUCUGGGCCGAUACUGACGCUGAGGAGCGAAAGCGUGGGGAGCGAACAGG